GACGAACGCUGGCGGCGUGCUUAACACAUGCAAGUCGAACGGAAAGGCCCUGCUCUUGCGGGGUUCUCGAGUGGCGAACGGGUGAGUAACACGUGAGUAACCUGUCCUUGACUUUGGGAUAACUCCAGGAAACUCGGGCUAAUACAGGAUAGGAGCUCCUGCUGCACGGUGGGGGUUGGAAAGAUUCGGCGGUGGGGGAUAGACUCGCGGCUUAUCAGCUUGUUUGUGUGGUAGUGGCUUACCAAGGCUUAGACGGGUAGCCGGCCUGAGAGGGUGGCCGGCGACCAUACGACUGCGGUACGGAGCAGACGCGUACGGGAGGCAGUGGUGGAAAGUAUUGCGCAAUGGGCGGGCGCGAGUUAUAGAGGCGCUGGGUGCGGGAUGCUGUCUUUCGGGUUAUAAACCGCUUUCGCCUGUAACGAGGCGUGAGUGACGGUACUGGGUAAGAAAGCACCGGCUAACUACGUG
Molecule: ribosomal RNA, 468 nt
Filed under: uncultured bacterium
Lineage: Bacteria
Description: partial 16S ribosomal RNA
Rfam family: Bacterial small subunit ribosomal RNA
Source: RNAcentral